AUCAAUAAGCGGAGGAAAAGAAACCAACAGGGAUUGCCUCAGUAACGGCGAGUGAAGCGGCAACAGCUCAAAUUUGAAAUCUGGCUCUCGGGCCCGAGUUGUAAUUUGCAGAGGAUGUUUCUGGCGAGGUGCCUUCCGAGUUCCCUGGAACGGGACGCCAUAGAGGGUGAGAGCCCCGUCCGGUUGGUCGCUAAGCCUCUGUGAAACUCCUUCGACGAGUCGAGUAGUUUGGGAAUGCUGCUCUAAAUGGGAGGUAUACGUCUUCUAAAGCUAAAUACCGGCCAGAGACCGAUAGCGCACAAGUAGAGUGAUCGAAAGAUGAAAAGCACUUUGAAAAGAGGGUUAAAUAGUACGUGAAAUUGUUGAAAGGGAAGCGUUUAUGACCAGACUUGGGCCGGUUGAUCAUCCAUCGUUCUCGGUGGUGCACUCUGCCGGCUCAGGCCAGCAUCAGUUUGGCUUGGGGGAUAAAGGUUUCGGGAAUGUGGCUCCCUCGGGAGUGUUAUAGCCCGUUGCGUAAUACCCUGGGCUAGACUGAGGUUCGCGCUCCGCAAGGAUGCUGGCGUAAUGGUCAUCAGCGACCCGUCUUGAAACACGGACCAAGGAGUCGUCUUCGUAUGCGAGUGUUCGGGUGUCAAACCCCUACGCGUAAUGAAAGUGAACGUAGGAGAGAGCUUCGGCGCAUCUCCGACCGAUCCUGAUGUUCUCGGAUGGAUUUGAGUAAGAGCAUACGGGGCCGGACCCGAAAGAAGGUGAACUAUGCCUGUAUAGGGUGAAGCCAGAGGAAACUCUGGUGGAGGCUCGCAGCGGUUCUGACGUGCAAAUCGAUCGUCAAAUAUGGGCAUGGGGGCGAAAGACUAAUCGAACCUUCUAGUA
This 873-nucleotide ribosomal RNA is filed under the name Lasionectria oenanthicola. RNAcentral describes it as "eukaryotic LSU rRNA". It matches the Rfam family "Eukaryotic large subunit ribosomal RNA", at positions 42 to 949 of the family's 3401-position model. The record is from RNAcentral. Lineage: Eukaryota; Fungi; Ascomycota; Sordariomycetes; Hypocreales; Nectriaceae.